RNAcentral lists this ribosomal RNA (460 nucleotides) under uncultured bacterium. Its description in RNAcentral is "partial 16S ribosomal RNA". It matches the Rfam family "Bacterial small subunit ribosomal RNA", at positions 338 to 795 of the family's 1533-position model. The record is from RNAcentral.
CCUACGGGUGGCAGCAGUGAGGAAUAUUGGUCAAUGGACGAGAGUCUGAACCAGCCAAGUAGCGUGAAGGAUGACUGCCCUAUGGGUUGUAAACUUCUUUUAUAUGGGAAUAAAAUGUUACACGUGUGGGAUUUUGUAUGUACCAUAUGAAUAAGGAUCGGCUAACUCCGUGCCAGCAGCCGCGGUAAUACGGAGGAUCCGAGCGUUAUACGGAUUUAUUGGGGUUAAAGGGAGCGUAGGUGGAGUGUUAAGUCAGUUGUGAAAGUUUGCGGCUCAACCGUAAAAUUGCAGUUGAAACUGGCAGUCUUGAGUACAGGAGAGGUGGGCGGAAUUCGUGGUGUAGCGGUGAAAUGCUUAGAUAUCACGAAGAACUCCGAUUGCGAAGGCAGUUCACUGGACUGCAACUGACACUGAGGCGCGAAAGUGUGGGUAUCAAACAGGAUUAGAUACCCUAGUAGUC